AGGUGCGAUCAUACCAGCACUAAUGCACCGGAUCCCAUCAGAACUCCGUAGUUAAGCGUGUUUGGGCGAGAAUAGUACUAGGAUGGGUGACCUUCUGGGAAGUCCUUGUGUUGCACAUC
This 119-nucleotide ribosomal RNA is filed under the name Trifolium pratense (red clover). The record is from RNAcentral. Lineage: Eukaryota; Viridiplantae; Streptophyta; Magnoliopsida; Fabales; Fabaceae.